GUCUUCUUGAAUUUAUUAGAAGUCGUGCCUGCCCACUGAAUUUAACUUGAAGGGCCGCGGUAUUUUGACCGUGCAAAGGUAGCAUAAUCAUUAGUCUUUUAAUUGGGGACUGGGAUGAAUGGUUUGACGAAAUAAUGACUGUCUGUUAAGUAUUUUUUGAAGUUUACUUUUAAGUUAAAAGGCUUAAAUGUUAGUAAGGGACGAGAAGACCCUAUAGAUCUUUAUUUAUGGAUCAAUGAUUGCUUAUUAGAUGUAUUACUAAUUAUGGGUUGAUGAAUUUUAUUGGGGUGAUAUGAGAACGGAAAUAACUUCUUAUUAUUUAAACUUUGAUGUUUGGGUAUGGUGAUCCUUUAUUAUGGAUUUAAGAUUAAGAUACCUUAGGGAUAACAGCGUAAUUUUAUUUGAGAGUUCUUAUCGACAAUAAAGAUUGCGACCUCGAUGUUGGAUUAAGAUUAUAGGUUGGUGUAGAAGCUAAUACUUAUUAGUCUGUUCGACUAUUAAAAUCUUACA
RNAcentral lists this ribosomal RNA (510 nucleotides) under Ecuazarida mocagua. RNAcentral describes it as "partial 16S ribosomal RNA". It matches the Rfam family "Bacterial large subunit ribosomal RNA", at positions 1831 to 2600 of the family's 2925-position model. The record is from RNAcentral. Lineage: Eukaryota; Metazoa; Arthropoda; Insecta; Orthoptera; Phalangopsidae.